AAAACAGUUUUGUGUGCGAUGAAUAUGAUUUUUGUAUAAUUAAAUGAAUGGACGCCAUUGUUUAUACAUGUAUACAUUAAACAUUCGGUCUUGCAAGUGAGCUGUCAAUCCAUUUUAAGACGGAAGUUGUGUUAGGAGAUUUAAUUUAUUCUAUGCACAUUCGCUUGCAGUAGUGUACAACUUGGAAGCAACUAUAUUUUGGGCAGUUUAAAGCAUUGACGAAAACAACAACAACUCCUUAUUAAGUCAUAAUCGGAGGAAAUGGCACAUACUUAGAGUGCAUAAUAUAGCAUGCAAUGUCUUAUCACACAAAGAAUUCUGAGAAUAUGUCAAAGCAUUGGCCGAUGGCAUAUUACAACAAGUACGGAAGACCAGAAAGGACAUACUAUGACACCGGAUAUUACGACGGUUACAUCCCACCAUAUCCGUACAGCCUCGCAUAUGACGUGCCCGGUUUGCGCUAUUCCCGGUCGCUCUAUGGCCGUGGUGCAAUGUCCGAAUAUGGCUACAGAUCCCCGUACACCUAUCGCAGCGAGCUGUUCGGUUCCAGAUAUGCGUCGUACCCUACGGAGGACGAAUGUGACCUUUACUACCCACGAUUUAGCCGUUACAGAUAUUGGUACUAGCCUUCGAGAAAAGAUGACCAGCUCGUUUUGGAAUGAAAAAAAUACAGUUUCGUUUUUCAAAGUACUCUCUUAGAUUCUUAAUAUUUAAGAUCACCGAUGGUUUAUCAUUUGUAAUAGGUAAAAUGCAAAUAAAUGUCAUCAUCGGACCAUGAAGACUUUUCAACGCGAACCUGCUUGUUAUUCGACUGUUAGCUCACAUGAGAACGAAGUGGUCAUUGUUAGCUAUUUUGGAAGGUGGCCCUCUGGCGUCAGUUAUUUUCUUCCAACGGCAUCUCAUCAUUUACCGGAGAAUUAUCAAGAAACUUUACAGAAAUUGUCAUAGAGUGACACUUUUUGUUGUACAUAUUUUUUAGGACCCGAAUCCACCCGAUGUUCUUGGACGUAAAAUAGGAGAAUACAAGUAGAACCAAAAACCAAAACACAUAUGUUCAGUGUCUUAACAUAUACAGGCUACACAUGUUUUUGUCAUUCAUACAUUGUUCUAAAUGCAGAAUCGCUAGUUGGAGGUGUUUGAUUCUAGACGAUAUUUAACUGUAUAAUUCUAUACAAAAACGACAGUUAAAAGAAUAUUCUCUCUUAUUAGACAUAGGGGAAAUCACGUGACAAACAAGAUGGCGACGUUCAUGCCGAGACAUGUAUUUUUCGCCAUUUCUUACCCUGUAUUACUUGUAUUAAUUGUUUCAAUAUUCGCUCUUUAUCUCGACUUAACUCGCUGCGAAUUUUUCCUUAGCGGGAGCUGUAAUAGUGUGACCCUCUAAGAAAUUUCGCAUCGAGUAAAAUCGAGAUAUAGAUCGAAUAUUAAUACGAUAUAAACGCUUAUCGCUUUCUUGUCGAUAUGGCUGGUAAGUGAGCGUCAUUUAAACAAUUUAUUAAAGAAAUCAAGGGUAUAACACGGCGAAAAAUGCUGUCUCGCCUGGGACUUUCUGUUAGACGUAAGUAUAAGUAUUGGUUGGUGAACUCGGGUCCUGCUCUGCUGCUAGUAGUCCUCUACUUACAUUAUCAAAGUCAUGCCCUUGGGGAAAAAACUGGUCACGCCUUAGAGGUCAAAUGCUUUAUAAAGACGUUUGUAUGAAAUAACUUACACAUUUUAUCAGGUGUGUGGCAUUAGAUUGUUUUCCUCUAUGAAGAUAAUUAAAAUAAUUCCCAUUUGUUUGAAACUGGUAAUGCCCUAUUACAUAUGUGAGCGAUCUAGUUGCUUACUUCAUAAGUUCAUCGCCAUUUACUUUGGCAAAUAAUCAACACUGUGCAGAAAUCAUGUAAUGGUAAAUAGCAAUACUAAAACCAUCAUUCACUCGUGUAUGCUUGUUGUUUUUGCUAGGUUCAUUAUCCUUCAACGGAAGUGAAUUGUUCGUAUCGUUUUGUUGUAAUAAAAUAACACUGAAACCAUCACUUUAUCGUCUUUUUCCCAGUUCAUAAUUUUUCAAGGAUCUAUUGAUUGUUCAGAUUUUUUUUUCUUGCUUUAAACCUAUUUAUUUUAGCUCAAUUGCAUAGAAAGCCUCAGGCUUUUUUGAAAACGCUCUCGAGUUCGUUUUCUUGUACUAGAACCUGUACUUGGUGCCUAUGUGGGAGAUCUAAAGAACGCUCCCACAGUGGGAACCCGUGUUCUCCCGGUCGCUAGGCGGACGCCAUAUCCAUGAAACCACGACGAUCUGUUGUAUUGAAAGUUGUCGAGCAUCGCGUGAUUGUUAAGACUGCAAUUAUAAACAAGCUUAGCAAGAAUUUUUACAAGUUUCAGUUUUGCUUUCUUUAAAUUAUAACAUUUCUUAAGCCUGUUUUUGCUCAUUUUAUACAUUUAGAAUCCUCUGUUCUGUUCGGGUUGGUUUUAAGGGUAAUAUCUUUUAAAGGCGAGUUCUGAUCGUUUAGUUAGAAGACAUACUAUAUGACCAUUGUUGAAACACAUAUUAAAAUAAUAAUUUGUACCUUUGAAACAUUCCCCCACUUUUUGUUUUAUCUGAUUUCUGAUACAUGUAUUGUGCAUUUUAACGCGUGUUUGGUAUUUGGUAACAUAAGUCCAAUGUUGAUAUGACUUUGAAUCCAAAGUCGUAGUCACAGGAGUAAAUCAGAAAUUUCAACUGCAUACGCGGCACAAACAGCAAAUGCCAUUUUGUUUCCCCGAUGUAUGAUAGUGUUUAAUAUAUGAGCCGUGCUCUGUGAA
Long non-coding RNA from Dreissena polymorpha, 2781 nucleotides. RefSeq lists it as uncharacterized. NCBI's taxonomy places the organism in Eukaryota, Metazoa, Mollusca, Bivalvia, Myida, Dreissenidae. The record is from RefSeq and is a predicted model, not a curated record. The transcript has 3 exons.